This 510-nucleotide ribosomal RNA is filed under the name uncultured bacterium. Its description in RNAcentral is "bacterial SSU rRNA". It matches the Rfam family "Bacterial small subunit ribosomal RNA", at positions 29 to 518 of the family's 1533-position model. The record is from RNAcentral.
AACGAACGCUGGCGGCGUGCUUAACACAUGCAAGUCGAACGCGAAAGGGACUUCGGUCCUGAGUAAAGUGGCGCACGGGUGAGUAACGCGUAGAUAACCUGUCUUCAUGUCUGGAAUAAUACGCCGAAAGGGGUACUAAUACCGGAUAUUCUUGCUUUUCAUAAGUUAUGCAAGCAAAGGUGGCCUCUGCAUAUGCUACUGCAUGAAGAGGGGUCUGCGUACCAUUAGCUAGUAGGUGGGGUAAUGGCCUACCUAGGCGACGAUGGUUAGCGGGUCUGAGAGGAUGAUCCGCCACACUGGCACUGGAACACGGGCCAGACUCCUACGGGAGGCAGCAGUGAGGAAUAUUGCGCAAUGGGGGAAACCCUGACGCAGCGACGCCGCGUGAGUGAGGAAGGCCUUCGGGUCGUAAAGCUCUGUCAAGAGGAAAGAAGUGUACAAUGGCUAAUACCUGUCGUAUUUGACGGUACCUCUAAAGGAAGCACCGGCUAACUCCGUGCCAGCCGCCGC